GCUAGUUGUAUUAAUUUGUCUUUAGUUAAUGCAGCAUCGACUAUGUCGAAUAAAGUUCUAGGUAGAGUUAUGAUAAUGACAUUUUCUACCUAUGUGUCUUGACCAAGUCACGUGCCAGCAGUCGCGGUAAUACGUGGAAGACUAGUGUUAUUCAUCUUUAAUAGGUUUAAAGGGUACUUAGACGGUAAAUUUAGCCCAGAUUAAAAAAAAGGGUACUAAUUAUACUAGAGUUUAAUGAGAGGGGGAGGUGUAAUAGUGGAGUAGAGAUGAAAUUCUGUCAUACCAUUAUGACAGGCAACGGCGAAAGCAACCUUUUAUGUGAAAACUGACGUUAAAGGACGAAGGCUUUGUAUCGCCAACAGGAUUAGGUACCCAAGUAGUCUUAGCAGACAAUUCUGAAUGCCAUAGAUAAGAUGUAUUUUGUCUAUAAAUGAAAGUGUAAGCAUUCCACCUCAAGAGUAAUGUGGCAACGCACAAACUGAAAUCAUUAGACCGUUUCUGAAACCAGUAGUGAAGUAUGUUGUUUAAUUUGAUGGUCCGCACAAAACCUUACCACAAUUUGUAUAUUAUUAUCUUAAUACAGGAGUUGCACGGCUGUCUUCAGUUAAUGUCGUGAGAUUUAGGUUAAUUCCGUUAAAUUAACGUAAACCCUUACUUUAU
Molecule: ribosomal RNA, 660 nt
Filed under: Lobothallia sp.
Lineage: Eukaryota; Fungi; Ascomycota; Lecanoromycetes; Pertusariales; Megasporaceae
Description: SSU rRNA
Rfam family: Bacterial small subunit ribosomal RNA
Source: RNAcentral